This 222-nucleotide long non-coding RNA is filed under the name Elaeis guineensis (African oil palm). Its description in RNAcentral is "long non-coding RNA (EGUI_LNC020218)". The record is from RNAcentral. Lineage: Eukaryota; Viridiplantae; Streptophyta; Magnoliopsida; Arecales; Arecaceae.
AUGGAUUUGAUAUUUUGAAAUACAAUGUGGACAACCUGAUCAGAGUUGACAGUUGAACUCUGAGGUAUCCUAUGAGCAUUUUGGUCAAGGGGAUGAAUUAUAUGAAAACUAUAUCUGCAUGGAUUCUAAGGAUGUUGUUCUACACAUUCGACCUAUCCGACCGUCGGGUACCAUUGCUAGAUGGUCACUUCGAUUGAUACAAAAAUUUAUUUUUGUGCUACC